Molecule: long non-coding RNA, 637 nt
Filed under: Malus domestica (apple)
Lineage: Eukaryota; Viridiplantae; Streptophyta; Magnoliopsida; Rosales; Rosaceae
Description: long non-coding RNA (MDOM_LNC006718)
Source: RNAcentral
AAAGGUUUCAAUCAUGUCUUGCUUUAGGGAAGAAUUUAUCUUUUCAUGAUUGACACCAUCUGUAUGAAGGAAUCAAAGAGCCACGGAAUCCUCAUUGGUGAGGUACUUUCAUUUGAUAUGCUUCAACUAUAAGUCUUCAAAUGAAGAUCAUGGCGGAGGCUUAUUCAACUCUUCCACACCAUAAUUGGCUACAACGAUUUAACAACCAGUUGUAGUUAAGCGGAUUGUCACAUCUUGUAUCUGCAUAAAGUAGAUUUUGUUCGAAACUUUCAAAUUAGUGAAAUUGAACUUGUGAAAUCCCAUUCCUGGAUUUCACUGUUAUAAUCUAUGUAUUUGUAUUAUUGAGAUUUUAUAUUAUUUUUCGGGAAUUUAUAAUAAUUGAUUUGAAUUUAGGUUUUAAUUAAACUAGUUAUGAGGGUUGAAGUUUCGAAAUUAAUUAUUUAAAUUCCGUAGACCUUUCGAGGUCAUAAUUUAUAUUUUUGAAUAGAGCUCGAUCUCACAAACGCGUAGGCGAAAACCGUUCUUGAAAUGGAGUUAUAACCAAGAAAUUAGAGACGUUUUAGUUGUUGGGAAAUAAAUAAAUAAAUGUUUAGAAGCUGCCAAAUGGCAACAAGGGAGAGGGGAGAAAGGAGAGAGU